UCAAUAUUCGGACCGUUGGUCUACCGAGCAAUAUCACCCGAUCGGUGGAAAACCUUCCCUUUCUCGU
This 67-nucleotide microRNA precursor is filed under the name Bombyx mori (domestic silkworm). Its description in RNAcentral is "mir-2774 microRNA precursor family". It matches the Rfam family "mir-2774 microRNA precursor family". Lineage: Eukaryota; Metazoa; Arthropoda; Insecta; Lepidoptera; Bombycidae. The record is from Rfam by way of RNAcentral.